This 938-nucleotide ribosomal RNA is filed under the name Escherichia coli. RNAcentral describes it as "partial 23S ribosomal RNA". It matches the Rfam family "Bacterial large subunit ribosomal RNA", at positions 2005 to 2925 of the family's 2925-position model. The record is from RNAcentral. Lineage: Bacteria; Pseudomonadati; Pseudomonadota; Gammaproteobacteria; Enterobacterales; Enterobacteriaceae.
UGAUGGCCAGGCUGUCUCCACCCGAGACUCAGUGAAAUUGAACUCGCUGUGAAGAUGCAGUGUACCCGCGGCAAGACGGAAAGACCCCGUGAACCUUUACUAUAGCUUGACACUGAACAUUGAGCCUUGAUGUGUAGGAUAGGUGGGAGGCUUUGAAGUGUGGACGCCAGUCUGCAUGGAGCCGACCUUGAAAUACCACCCUUUAAUGUUUGAUGUUCUAACGUGGACCCGUGAUCCGGGUUGCGGACAGUGUCUGGUGGGUAGUUUGACUGGGGCGGUCUCCUCCUAAAGAGUAACGGAGGAGCACGAAGGUUGGCUAAUCCUGGUCGGACAUCAGGAGGUUAGUGCAAUGGCAUAAGCCAGCUUGACUGCGAGCGUGACGGCGCGAGCAGGUGCGAAAGCAGGUCAUAGUGAUCCGGUGGUUCUGAAUGGAAGGGCCAUCGCUCAACGGAUAAAAGGUACUCCGGGGAUAACAGGCUGAUACCGCCCAAGAGUUCAUAUCGACGGCGGUGUUUGGCACCUCGAUGUCGGCUCAUCACAUCCUGGGGCUGAAGUAGGUCCCAAGGGUAUGGCUGUUCGCCAUUUAAAGUGGUACGCGAGCUGGGUUUAGAACGUCGUGAGACAGUUCGGUCCCUAUCUGCCGUGGGCGCUGGAGAACUGAGGGGGGCUGCUCCUAGUACGAGAGGACCGGAGUGGACGCAUCACUGGUGUUCGGGUUGUCAUGCCAAUGGCACUGCCCGGUAGCUAAAUGCGGAAGAGAUAAGUGCUGAAAGCAUCUAAGCACGAAACUUGCCCCGAGAUGAGUUCUCCCUGACUCCUUGAGAGUCCUGAAGGAACGUUGAAGACGACGACGUUGAUAGGCCGGGUGUGUAAGCGCAGCGAUGCGUUGAGCUAACCGGUACUAAUGAACCGUGAGGCUUAACCUUACAACGCCGAAG